Eucalyptus grandis is the source of this 1487-nucleotide long non-coding RNA. RefSeq lists it as uncharacterized. Lineage: Eukaryota; Viridiplantae; Streptophyta; Magnoliopsida; Myrtales; Myrtaceae. The transcript is spliced from 2 exons. The record is from RefSeq and is a predicted model, not a curated record.
CCUUCACUUAGGUUUUUGUCUACAGCUCCUCUCUGUUCAUGGCGAGCUAUGAGCACGAUUUUGCUGGUGCCUUUCGUGUACUCCGACGAAGCAAGCCAUUGGCUUUCUUCUUGAACGACCAACUAGUAUAUCCUUCAAAGCAGUGGUACCGGAUCCAUCGCCAAGAUUUGAGAACGAAACGCCAAGUAAGAAUCAUUCAAAAUCAGAAGGAAUCUAGUUGUUUUCUCCCUUUCCUUCAUCAAUUUGUACUGCUGUAACGUUGUCUCGGGUCCCUUGGGCUUUUCCUCUGUUGCCUCCAGUUCAUUCCAAAGAGCUGACAGCUUGUUGAAGCACGUCGCAGUAGACAUGUUUCCUUGCUUUAGAUCUGAGAGUGCCUAGGUGAGCAAGAAGAUUUUCGCUCAAUCCAACUUGCCGUACAUCUCCUUAAUGUUGUCCCACAUAUUUUUUGCCUCCUCUGUGGAAGGUAAGCCGGCCGCUACUUCAAGGGAAAUAUAAUUCCCAAUCCAUGCUCUCACAAGUUGAUUGCACUUUUUUCAUUGUUGUAUCAUCCUUUCGUCCUUCGGGAUUGGAAUGGUCCCAUUGAUAAAACCUUAUUUAUCCUUCGUGACGAGAGCUCGCCGAAGUUCUUGUGCGCAAGUCGAGUAGUUUUCCGAUUCGAUCAACUGGAGAGUGAUUAGUCGAAUUUCUGGUCCAUCGGCUAUGGAGACGAACCGGGGGUCGUCAUGCUCUGGGCGACUAGUCAUGGCCGAGAUUGAAUAUGGGAAGAAACCAAGCGGGGGAAACGGGUAGGGAUUUCCACCCAUACCCGGAUUACUCAACCCGGUUGUCUAUCCCGCAUUGUGAAAACUCGACCCAGUUGUCUGCCCCGCAUUGUGAAAACCAGCACCCGCAUCUCCUGACCUAGUCAGUUGCCCAGCAAGGAAGGAUCCCGUCCCAGUAGUUGGACUUGCCCGUUCGCGGCUGGCAGGUCACCACUGGACCGGGUGCUGUUCUCGUGGGUUUGAUUCCCUGACCACGAGGCGUUUAGGGUUGACCCAUAAUACCAAGGAUUGGGCUGCAUCUAAACGGGCAGCCACUAAAACGGUUGGCCCAUAAAGGGUUGCCCCAGAUUCGGCUUGGCCUGUGGUGAUGGCCAUUGCAUAUGCUAGGCUUGGAUGGGCUGCUCUCGGCUUCCAACAACUCUAGCAAGUGGGUUUUUAAGGUUAGUGUGCCCUUUGUUGCAAGAACAGAGAAGAUGGCAGGCGAUCAAUCGAUGAAGAAGGCGGAAGCUAAAUCAAGAGCACAACUACUCUGACACCAUGAAAGGAAACGAGGCAGACAAAAAAGGAGCAAGAAGAACAGAUUUUAGGGGAAGAUUUUUGUAUUUCUUUUCAUUGAAUUUGAAAGUGUACAGAUCUUUGUAAUUAUAGUACAUGAUGUAUACAAACGAAGGGAAAGAAAAUAAUCAAAGAUACCCACUGGUGGGUAACUGUGCUGGUUGGGCUCUA